Long non-coding RNA from Manis pentadactyla (Chinese pangolin), 2852 nucleotides. RefSeq lists it as uncharacterized. The transcript is spliced from 5 exons. Lineage: Eukaryota; Metazoa; Chordata; Mammalia; Pholidota; Manidae. The record is from RefSeq and is a predicted model, not a curated record.
ACCACUGCUCUGGAUGGACUGAAUUCACUUAUUCAUUUAACAAAUAUGUAAGGACGGCUGCCAUCAGCAAGGCAUUGUUGGCGACAUAGCAGAUAAGGAAAUAAACAGCCUCUGCUCUCCUAGGUUUAGAAAGCUGAAUCAGAAUCUUCAGGGGAGGGGCCUAGGAGUCUGAAGUUUCUAAAAGCCGACCCGCCAAGACUGAGACUCAGGGAGCAGCAGAAAGAGCAGAGUCAGGCAGCUGUUUGAGUCUUGGUUCCUCUGCUUAUUGGCUGCUUGAGCUUGGAGAUUGCAUUGAUUGGGAAAGAGCAGGACUUCGGAAGGAAGAUCACGACUCUAGACGAAGGCUUCAGUGCACACGCACCACCAGGAUCAGGAAGAAAAGCAUUCUGAUUUAAUAUCUGGGGUGCAAAUUUUGUGAAGCCUUCCAAAGAAAUAGUGUCAAGUCUAAGAGGUCUUUGCCAAGCCCUACUUACUGAAGAUAUUCUCCACACACACUGAAAGUCAAGGGAGCAGGAAGCCCAGAACCUAAAGAUUGUCACAUCAGUGAGUCAGCUGCAAGAGCUUCCAGGCCUAGCGCUGCCAUGAUUGAAAAAGUUGAAGUCGGACUGCCAUUAUUCUGCUCUGUCAGAAACCAUCUGUGGCGGUAGCUAUCAUUCCACGUCUGUACCACAGACACAGGGCAAAGCUGGAUCUUCAGCUGUCGGUCGUGAGAGCUCCCCCGAUUCUGUGUGCAGUUCAACUUUGGAGAAGGCCCGACGGACAAGGGGCUCAGCAAAUAUCAGUUGCCUGAAAUCCCAAUAUGGACAGUUUCUCACUGAACUCUAGUUAUUCAUGUCAAAAAAGCAGUUUGCCAAUGCAUUUUUUCCUCUAACUUUUCCUCUUCAGGGUAAACUUGGUAAAUUACUCAUAAAAUAAUUUUCUUAAACCCUGACCCUCAUUUAGGGUGAGUUCUCUCUCCUACCCAAUAUUGACUCCAGAAAAAUAAAGUAAUGGAGAGAGUUUAUAGCUCUGUCUUUUAAUGGCAUGAAGUUAGAAUAACAAAGAACUUCACUUCCCUCUCCUGUAACAAUUUGUUAUUUAUUUUUUUAGCUUGUUGCCUGUGAUCUUAUUUUGAAGGCAAAAUAAGCUUAGCAUGCACAUCCCAUCAACUGCCACUACUUUAAAUUCGAACAAGGGUGGCUUUGAGUUUUUAUUUUAAUUUGGAAAAUGUGUUUCUUUUGAAGAAACAAAAUGCCAAGUUGUUAAUGAAAUGCUUUUAAUAGAUUUCUAAAUACUCCUGCCCAAUACGAAGCAAAACUCAACUUAUUCAUUCUAAGCCUGAAAACGUCCAUUUUCUUCUCAUGUAAGAGGAGCUAUAUGUUCUUAAGUUGAUUAAGACCAUAAAUUCUGAUAUUUCACAGUUCACUGCAUUACAUUCAUACGCCGUCAUAGUUACAUUGAUGAACAUUUAUCCAGGUCUUGCUUGCAAAAUAAAUAACAAUGUUAAAAAUCAUCUCGUUUCCUUUUGAUGUGUCCCUGUUGUACUACAUACAUUACAAAAUUAAAAAAAACAGAUUUCCUUUUGGCGGUCUUGAUUUGUUUGCUAGUUAAGCAGCAAUUAUGUAAUAAUUGUCAUUAUCAAUGCCCAAAGCCAUCUUUUACUAGAAGGUAUCGACCCCAAAUCGUUCAGCCACAGUGGCAAUACAGGUUGUAAUUCUAGAAUGCUUGUGCUUUCUCAAACAGAGCAUGAGUUUUCCAUUAGCUUCCCAGGGUGGCAAAGUACCUGAGAUCCUCUCUGAUGUGACCAAGUCACAGAUGAGCCUAACAAAUUGUUUUACAGGUGCAUAAACCAGAUCUACCAGUGAGACUAUGACUGCACAAACAACCUACUCUCAGGGAUCAUCUUCACAAGGUUUCUAAGGAUCACUGCAAGGGGAGAACCUCCGGAAGGUAGAAGAGUAACUUAAGUUUUCUACGCUACUGCAGACAGCUGCACCAGGAUCCUAAGGCUUCAUUUGCAGGUUCUUAGAAGUAAUUACUGCACCUCCUUAGCCCUGUUAUCUAAGCCAGUGCUAUCUAUUAGAAAUGUAAUAUACAACCCUUUCAUGUGUAAAUUUAAAUUUUAUAGUAGCCACAUACAGAAGUAACAAGAGGUAAAAUUAAUUUUAACAAUAUAUUAUUUAACCCAAUCUAUGCAGAAUAUUUUCAUUUCAAUAUUUAAUCAAUAUAAAAAUCGAGCUACAUAUGUACAUAUGUGUAUAUAUAUGUAUGUAUAUAUGGAUGUGUGUGUACAUGUAUGUACUAACUCUUUAAAACCUGAAGGUAUAUUUUACACUUACAUCUCAGUUUGUACCAGCCACAUUUCAAGUGCUUAAUAGUUACGUUGGACAGUACUGAGCCCUUACUGUACUAAAGUACUUGUUUUUGUUUUUAAUUGUGGACAGAAUCUUAUUUAAAAUUUCCUGAUAUGCAUGCUAUUAAGUCAUAAACUGUUGGCAGAUGUGUAAAUACAAUGAUUUUAAUUUCAUUCUUGACUACCAGUGAUUUUAUUCUUCCCAAAACUUGUCUUGCCAAGGGUCAAGAAAGAUGAUUCAGGAGCAUAUCCUUCAAGAGUCUCAGUGCCACACACUGAGCCCAGUGACUUUAAUAUGGGUGUGGUGAGCUGACCUCAGAGUCUAUUAUUAUGGCGAACCUGGGCCUUUUUCAAAAGAGGAUAUUUGUUCUGCUGUUCUUUGCAGGUGGAGACACCUUCCUCAUCUUUAUAUUCUCAGGGCCCAGUUAUUGUACAUGCACAGUAAGUGGCUGCUGGUACAUAAUGAUAACGAGACAAAAAGCAGUUUGAGAAUUAAGAUAUAGUCUCUGUUCAUAAGUCU